GCAAACUUGGUCAUUUAGAGGAAGUAAAAGUCGUAACAAGGUUUCCGUAGGUGAACCUGCGGAAGGAUCAUUAACGUAUCUCUGGCGGAGACUCUGCGCCCUGCUCCGGUCCCAAACGGGUCCGUGCAGCGGGCGAGGGGUCCCGUCCAACCUUUGCAAACCCACGUGCACAUUGACGGUGGAAGGGCCCUCUGGGGCUCGGAAGCCGCUUCACAAACACACAAAACUCGAAUGUCUAGCGGCCUCUGUGUCGCCUAAAUUUGAAACAACUUUCAACAACGGAUCUCUUGGCUCUCGCAUCGAUGAAGAACGCAGC
RNAcentral lists this unclassified non-coding RNA (316 nucleotides) under uncultured fungus. RNAcentral describes it as "partial contains small subunit ribosomal RNA, internal transcribed spacer 1, and 5.8S ribosomal RNA". The stretch from base 1 to 73 matches the Rfam family "Eukaryotic small subunit ribosomal RNA", at positions 1759 to 1831 of the family's 1831-position model. Lineage: Eukaryota; Fungi. The record is from RNAcentral.